Long non-coding RNA from Salvia splendens (bonfire salvia), 920 nucleotides. RefSeq lists it as uncharacterized. Lineage: Eukaryota; Viridiplantae; Streptophyta; Magnoliopsida; Lamiales; Lamiaceae. The transcript has 2 exons. The record is from RefSeq and is a predicted model, not a curated record.
GAUAGCCCAAAUCAAAAUAAAAUGAGGCUACCCUCAAAUUAUACCGCCUUCACCCAUCGUAUCUCUCCCUCAUUCACAUUCUUUAUUUUAAUUCUUCCCCAAAUUCACCUUCCAAUUGAAAUCCCUAAAAAAGGAAUAGAGAAGCCGACGCCUCUCUCCCCCACGCCUCUCUCUUCUCCGGCGUCGGCGUCGGCGUCUCUCUCCCUCACACCAGCUUCCCAAUUAACAUCAGUCUCAGCGUCGCAGCAAGGCACAAUACUGUAGUCGUGCCUCUCGGCCACCUCCCAAACCAAAUCCAUCUAUCUCUCUCGCUCGCUGGCUCUCUCUCCCUCGCCGCCCUUCGCGUUGCCCCGCCUGCACAGCCGCGUCGCUAGCGAGCGACGCCGACUCUUCUCUCUAUCUCUUUCCUCUCUCAUCGCUCUCUCUUUUCUUACGCCACAACCGCUGCUGCUUCCGAUUCCGCGCCGGCAAUGAUAUAAUCACUCUCCGGCUGUUAAAGAUUGGAUCUUUGGAUGAAUCUGGAGAUGGGCGAAGCAGCGGCUAGAAAUGCCAUGAUAGGGAGAUGGAGGUGGUGGGUCUGCACAGAUGCAGUCGGCACCGUCGGGCUUCUCUCUUCUCCAUUCCUAUUAUUUUUCUUCUUCUCACCGGUCUCCUUUAACAGCAAGCACAGUUUCUGUCCAAUGUUGGCAUAUUGAGAAAUGACAAAAAGGAUAAUCACAAUAGCUGCACACUUUCCCGCCAAAAAGGGUAAUAUUGACUUUUCAGCAAACUGUCACUUUAGAUUAGUAUAGAUUAUAGCAACAGUGUGCAGUGCGUGCAUGUUGUGCCACACGGUGAUGAAAUCAGCUUUGGUGAACAUAUAACGUCUUUCUCCCUCUCUCAAAAUUAAUUCUUUUAAAUUUGAUUUUCAUUAUCAUUCA